AACGCGAAGAACCUUACCUAGACUUGACAUCUCCUGAAUUACCCGUAACUGGGGAAGUUCCUUCGGGAACAGGAAGACAGGUGGUGCAUGGUUGUCGUCAGCUCGUGUCGUGAGAUGUUGGGUUAAGUCCCGCAACGAGCGCAACCCUUAUUGUUAGUUGCUACCAUUUAGUUGAGCACUCUAGCGAGACUGCCCGGGUUAACCGGGAGGAAGGUGGGGAUGACGUCAAAUCAUCAUGCCCCUUAUGUCUAGGGCUACACACGUGCUACAAUGGCAAGUACAACGAGAUGCAAUACCGCGAGGUGGAGCUAAACUUCAAAACUUGUCUCAGUUCGGAUUGUAGGCUGAAACUCGCCUACAUGAAGCUGGAGUUACUAGUAAUCGCGAAUCAGAAUGUCGCGGUGAAUACGUUCCCGGGCCUUGUACACACCGUACGUC
This 438-nucleotide ribosomal RNA is filed under the name uncultured bacterium. Its description in RNAcentral is "bacterial SSU rRNA". It matches the Rfam family "Bacterial small subunit ribosomal RNA", at positions 958 to 1398 of the family's 1533-position model. The record is from RNAcentral.